GAUGAACGCUGGCGGCGCGCCUAACACAUGCAAGUCGAACGAUUAAAGCACCUUCGGGUGUGUAUAAAGUGGCGAACGGCUGAGUAACACGUGGGCAACCUGCCCCUCUCAUUGGGAUAGCCACGGGAAACCGUGGAUAAUACCGAAUACUUCGGGACUUCCGCAUGGAAGACUCGAGAAAGCUCCGGCGGAGUGGGAUGGGCCCUCGGCCUGUUAGCUUGUUGGUGGGGUAAUGGCCUACCAAGGCAAUGAUGGGUAGCUGGGUUGAGAGACCGACCAGCCAGCUUGGGACUGAGGCACGGCCCAGACUCCAACGUGAGGCAGCAGUGGGGAAUCUUGCACAAUGGGCGCAAGCCUGAUGCAGCGACGCCGCGUGCGGGAUGAAGGCCUUCGGGUUGUAAACCGCUUUCAGCAGGGACGAGGCGAAAGUGACGGUACCUGCAGAAGAAGCCCCGGCUAACUACGUG
This 467-nucleotide ribosomal RNA is filed under the name uncultured bacterium. RNAcentral describes it as "partial 16S ribosomal RNA". It matches the Rfam family "Bacterial small subunit ribosomal RNA", at positions 28 to 507 of the family's 1533-position model. The record is from RNAcentral.